GGGUGACGAAAAGCUUUAAACCCCCCCACACACACACGUAGGCAAGAAUUAAGAGAAAGACAAGAGGGUCCUCGGGCCCACCUGGGCUCUGCCUGCUGCAUUCUGUCUUACAGAUAUCCACCAUGGAGUUGAGCUUCCACCAUGUAAAAGAGAUGAAGAGCACGCUCAGAAAACAUGGGCAGGACACACAUACAGCAGUAAAUUCAGAUCCACCUGAAUGGGCUUUGAGCAGGAGUUUGGCAUUCUCAACCUGGGAUUCAGGUGUUGGCCUGAGAUUGGUGGCAUGUUACCGUACACCUCUGACAAGGUUAGCAGGAUGUUCCAGGUAUGUUUAUGCUACACAGCAUUGCCAUGAUCCUUGCCUGAGGGGGAAGACAUACAUGAAAUACGGAGCCCUGAAAAGAAGAGGACAUAGGAGCUGUGAGGCUCAGGAGGACAUAAGCAUGCUGGACCAGGAAGAUGAUGGAGCAAGGACACCAGCUAGUGUUCCCUGAGGCCCCCUCAGAGACAGUUUGAUAGUCAAGACAAGAUCGCUGAAACUGCAACUUUUUCUGAGCAGGGCCUUGAAUCUACACAGAGUGCGCCACUGAUUCCAAGCCCAGGGAUCUACCCGUGCUAAAUAAAUUGCAGGAUUGGGGCCUAAAGUCUGUUUAA
This 654-nucleotide long non-coding RNA is filed under the name Gopherus agassizii (Agassiz's desert tortoise). RNAcentral describes it as "lncRNA (ENSGAGG00000011913.1)". Lineage: Eukaryota; Metazoa; Chordata; Testudines; Testudinidae. The record is from RNAcentral.